GCCUGGGUGGCUCAGUCGGUUGAGCGUCCGACUUCGGCUCAGGUCACGAUCUCACGGUCCGUGAGUUCGAGCCCCGCGUCAGGCU
Non-coding RNA from Felis catus (domestic cat), 85 nucleotides. The record is from Rfam. Lineage: Eukaryota; Metazoa; Chordata; Mammalia; Carnivora; Felidae.